AGCGAACGCUGGCGGCAGGCUUAACACAUGCAAGUCGAGCGGGCGUAGCAAUACGUCAGCGGCAGACGGGUGAGUAACACGUGGGAACGUACCUUUUGGUUCGGAACAACUGAGGGAAACUUCAGCUAAUACCGGAUAAGCCCUAACGGGGAAAGAUUUAUCGCCGAAAGAUCGGCCCGCGUCUGAUUAGCUAGUUGGUGAGGUAAUGGCUCACCAAGGCGACGAUCCGUAGCUGGUCUGAGAGGAUGACCAGCCACACUGGGACUGAGACACGGCCCAGACUCCUACGGGUGGCAG
Molecule: ribosomal RNA, 297 nt
Filed under: uncultured Pseudomonadota bacterium
Lineage: Bacteria; Pseudomonadati; Pseudomonadota
Description: uncultured proteobacterium partial 16S ribosomal RNA
Rfam family: Bacterial small subunit ribosomal RNA
Source: RNAcentral